CGCAGUUGUGGCCCGACACUCUGCACAGACGGACGCGACGCGACGCGGGAGAUCCCGCGCCGCAGGUCACGCACGAGGCGAGCGGAGAGGGACGCCGGUCGCGGCGGGGUUCACGAAUGUUUCCAGUACCCGCGGCAAACAGCUGCCGGCUUGCGUCGGAAGACGCAGUACCGGCAGAUGUCUACAUUCAACCGGUUCGAACACACGGUGCACCUCAGUUCCCAACGCUGAUUUCCUAUAGUCGCCAGUCGUGACAGACGAGUACCUUUCUGGAGGAUCUCGAGGUGCUCCCAGAGGAUGUCGCCCAUGAAGGGCGGCGUUCUGGCGAGGAAGGCCUCCUUGCCCAUGUUGCAGAUGUCCUUGCCGCGCAUGUGCAGGUGCUGCAUGGUGACGCCCUCCAGCGAGAACUCGCGGAUGGCCCACGACAACCAGUGAGCCACCUGCGCCUCCGACCAUUGCCUCGGGUCUGCAACACAGCGCAACCAACGUUUCAGUUAGCACGUUAGCAUGCCAUUCUGACACUAGCCCACGUUGCUGUCGACGGAUGCUAGCUGAGUCAACCUGAGCUAAAGCAAAUGGGUAAACAGAUCCAGCUGUGGCAAAGAUACUGAAGAUACUCGUAGUCGAUGUGGUGAGGAAUGACUGCGAGCCGAUAACAGCAAACACAGUGCUCCUGCUUCCUUAGCCAGCAAGGUGCGCCAUAAUGGACCGUGAAGCAGAUGUCAGGUUGCACCAACGGUCAGUGAUGGAGUUCCUCUUCAAGACCGGCGAUGACUCUGCCACAUCGAUUCACAGGAAGUUGCUCCCUAUUUAUGGGGAGGACACGGUGGAUCGCAGCAGUAUCCAGCGGUGGUUGCAGAGGAUUUAAAGAAGGUGAUUUCUCUUUACUGUACAAUCCUCGAUGCCGUAGACCAUCGACGGCAGUGAGUGAUGUGAAUAACGAGAACAUUGAUCAAAUCAUCCAAAAUCACAAAUGUGUGACUACACGGCAGCUUGCUGAAAUGACUCGUUUGUCAUUGGGUAGUGUGGUAUCACUGGUAUGGUCACUAGGGUACAGAAAAAUCUGUGCACGUUGGGUGCCUAGAUUAUUGACAAGAGAAAUGAAAACGACGAGGAAGAAUACGUGUGAGGGUCUCAUGAAGACCUUUACUGAAGAGUGGAAAAGUGCUUUGAAGGCGUUAUCACCCAGGAUGAAACAUGGUUGUUUUUGUCCGAACCUGAGAGCAAAGCCCAAUCCAUGGAGUGGCGUUAUCCGGGUUCUCCUCGGAAGAAAAGACCAAGACUUUCACGAACAGCAGGACGAAAGGUGAUGGCCCCCGUCUUCUGGGAUCAGUGUGGUGUCAUUUUCAUUGAAUUUUUGGAACCUGGAUCCACAAUUAACCGGGACUGUUACUGUUUGUCAUUGGACAAGCUGCGACGUACCAUCAAGACCCACAGACCACAGCUUAAGGAUCAGCUCAUCAGACUACACCAUGAAAAUACCAAACCCCAUACAGCCCUUAUGACGCAGGAGAAAAUCAGGAAAAUGGGUUGAAAAAUUUUUCCUCAUUCUCCCUACAGUCCGGACUUGGCUCCGUCUGAUUUUUACCUCUUUGGUAGUCUAGAGGCCCACCUGCGCGGUAAAACAUUUCAUAGUGAGAAAGACAUUUCCUGUGUCAAGCGAUAGUGUAAAAGUCAUUUCCCAGAAUUUUACCAAAGUGCAUUUACAUCAUGGAAAGAACGUUAGGCCAGAUGCAUCACAGCUGAUGGAGGCUACAUUGAGUAGGCUCAAUCUUUAGCUAAAUGUUCCUAGUAUGUUCACAAAAAAUGUCA
Schistocerca nitens (vagrant locust) is the source of this 1812-nucleotide long non-coding RNA. RefSeq lists it as uncharacterized. Lineage: Eukaryota; Metazoa; Arthropoda; Insecta; Orthoptera; Acrididae. The transcript is spliced from 4 exons. The record is from RefSeq and is a predicted model, not a curated record.